This 1530-nucleotide ribosomal RNA is filed under the name Escherichia coli. RNAcentral describes it as "bacterial SSU rRNA". It matches the Rfam family "Bacterial small subunit ribosomal RNA". The record is from RNAcentral. RNAcentral also lists the same sequence under 1 other name. Lineage: Bacteria; Pseudomonadati; Pseudomonadota; Gammaproteobacteria; Enterobacterales; Enterobacteriaceae.
CUUUUACAAUGAAGAGUUUGAUCCUGGCUCAGGAUGAACGCUAGCUACAGGCUUAACACAUGCAAGUCGAGGGGCAUCAGGAUGUAGCAAUACAUUGCUGGCGACCGGCGCACGGGUGAGUAACACGUAUCCAACCUGCCUUUUACUCGGGGAUAGGCUUUCGAAAGAAAGAUUAAUACCCGAUGGCAUAAUAUUUCCGCAUGGGAUUAUUAUUAAAGAAUUUCGGUAAAAGAUGGGGAUGCGUUCCAUUAGGCAGUUGGCGGGGUAACGGCCCACCAAACCUUCGAUGGAUAGGGGUUCUGAGAGGAAGGUCCCCCACAUUGGAACUGAGACACGGUCCAAACUCCUACGGGAGGCAGCAGUGAGGAAUAUUGGUCAAUGGGCGGAAGCCUGAACCAGCCAAGUAGCGUGAAGGAUGACUGCCCUAUGGGUUGUAAACUUCUUUUAUAGGGGAAUAAAAUGAGCCACGUGUGGCUUUUUGUAUGUACCCUAUGAAUAAGGAUCGGCUAACUCCGUGCCAGCAGCCGCGGUAAUACGGAGGAUCCGAGCGUUAUCCGGAUUUAUUGGGUUUAAAGGGAGCGUAGGUGGACAUGUAAGUCAGUUGUGAAAGUUUGCGGCUCAACCGUAAAAUUGCAGUUGAUACUGUGUGUCUUGAGUACAGUAGAGGUGGGCGGAAUUCGUGGUGUAGCGGUGAAAUGCUUAGAUAUCACGAAGAACUCCGAUUGCGAAGGCAGCUCACUGGACUGUUACUGACACUGAGGCUCGAAAGUGUGGGUAUCAAACAGGAUUAGAUACCCUGGUAGUCCACACAGUAAACGAUGAAUACUCGCUGUUUGCGAUAUACGGCAAGCGGCCAAGCGAAAGCAUUAAGUAUUCCACCUGGGGAGUACGCCGGCAACGGUGAAACUCAAAGGAAUUGACGGGGGCCCGCACAAGCGGAGGAACAUGUGGUUUAAUUCGAUGAUACGCGAGGAACCUUACCCGGGCUUAAAUUGCAUUUGAAUGUUGGGGAAACCCAACAGCCGUAAGGCAAAUGUGAAGGUGCUGCAUGGUUGUCGUCAGCUCGUGCCGUGAGGUGUCGGCUUAAGUGCCAUAACGAGCGCAACCCUUAUCUUUAGUUACUAACAGGUUAUGCUGAGGACUCUAGAGAGACUGCCGUCGUAAGAUGUGAGGAAGGUGGGGAUGACGUCAAAUCAGCACGGCCCUUACGUCCGGGGCUACACACGUGUUACAAUGGGGGGUACAGAAGGCAGCUACCUGGUGACAGGAUGCUAAUCCCAAAAGCCUCUCUCAGUUCGGAUCGAAGUCUGCAACCCGACUUCGUGAAGCUGGAUUCGCUAGUAAUCGCGCAUCAGCCACGGCGCGGUGAAUACGUUCCCGGGCCUUGUACACACCGCCCGUCAAGCCAUGGGAGCCGGGGGUACCUGAAGUACGUAACCGCAAGGAGCGUCCUAGGGUAAAACUGGUGACUGGGGCUAAGUCGUAACAAGGUAGCCGUACCGGAAGGUGCGGCUGGAACACCUCCUUUCU